UCAGGCCUAACACAUGCAAGUCGAACGGCAGCACGGGUGCUUGCACCUGGUGGCGAGUGGCGAACGGGUGAGUAAUAUAUCGGAACGUAUCCAAUAAUGGGGGAUAACUAAUCGAAAGGUUGGCUAAUACCGCAUACGCCCUACGGGGGAAAGCUAGGGACCUUCGGGCCUGGCGUUAAUGGAGCGGCCGAUAUCUGAUUAGCUAGUUGGUGAGGUAAGAGCUCACCAAGGCGACGAUCAGUAGCUGGUCUGAGAGGACGACCAGCCACACUGGAACUGAGACACGGUCCAGACUCCUACGGGAGGCAGCAGUGGGGAAUUUUGGACAAUGGGCGCAAGCCUGAUCCAGCCAUUCCGCGUGAGUGAAGAAGGCCUUCGGGUUGUAAAGCUCAUCGCAAGGGAAGAAAACUUACCCUCUAACAUAGGGUGAGG
This 432-nucleotide ribosomal RNA is filed under the name uncultured bacterium. RNAcentral's name for it is "bacterial SSU rRNA". It matches the Rfam family "Bacterial small subunit ribosomal RNA", at positions 42 to 472 of the family's 1533-position model. The record is from RNAcentral.